RNAcentral lists this ribosomal RNA (253 nucleotides) under uncultured bacterium. RNAcentral's name for it is "partial 16S ribosomal RNA". It matches the Rfam family "Archaeal small subunit ribosomal RNA", at positions 474 to 727 of the family's 1478-position model. The record is from RNAcentral.
UACCCGCAGCACAAGUGGUGGUCAUUAUUAUUGGGCCUAAAGCGUCCGUAGCUGGCUUGUUAGAUGCCUGGGUAAAUCGAUGCGCUCAACGCAUCGAACUCCGGGUAGACCGGCAAGCUUGGGACCGGGAGAGGCGUGAGCUACUCGAGGGGUAGGGGUAAAAUCCUGUAAUCCUUCGGGGAGGACCAGUGGCGAAGGCGUCACGCUAGAACGGCUCCGACAGUGAGGGACGAAGCUCUGGGGCGCAAACCGG